This 305-nucleotide ribosomal RNA is filed under the name uncultured bacterium. Its description in RNAcentral is "bacterial SSU rRNA". It matches the Rfam family "Bacterial small subunit ribosomal RNA", at positions 333 to 653 of the family's 1533-position model. The record is from RNAcentral.
CUUCUCCUACGGGGGGCAGCAGUGAGGAAUAUUGGUCAAUGGGCGAGAGCCUGACCCAGCAACGCCGCGUGAAGGAAGAAGGCUUUCGGGUUGUAAACUUCUUUUCUCAGGGACGAAUAGAUGACGGUACCUGAGGAAUAAGCCACGGCUAACUACGUGCCAGCAGCCGCGGUAAUACGUAGGUGGCAAGCGUUAUCCGGAUUUACUGGGUGUAAAGGGCGUGUAGGCGGGGACGCAAGUCAGAUGUGAAAACCACGGGCUCAACCUGUGGCCUGCAUUUGAAACUGUGUUUCUUGAGUACUGGG